AUCCAACUGACGAGUCCCAACUAGGACAAAACGUACAUCUCGGAU
This 45-nucleotide non-coding RNA is filed under the name Schistosoma curassoni. The record is from RNAcentral. Lineage: Eukaryota; Metazoa; Platyhelminthes; Trematoda; Strigeidida; Schistosomatidae.